UAGGGAAUAUUGGACAAUGGGGGCAACCCUGAUCCAGCCAUGCCGCGUGAGUGAAGAAGGCCCUCGGGUUGUAAAGCUCUUUUGUCCGGAAAGAAAAGCUUCGGGUUAAUACCCCGGGGUUCUGACGGUACCGGAAGAAUAAGCACCGGCUAACUUCGUGCCAGCAGCCGCGGUAAUACGAAGGGUGCAAGCGUUACUCGGAAUUACUGGGCGUAAAGCGUGCGUAGGUGGUUGUUUAGGUCUGAUGUGAAAGCCCUGGGCUCAACCUGGGAAUGGCAUUGGAAACUGGGCAGCUAGAGUGCGGUAGAGGGUAGUGGAAUUCCCGGUGUAGCAGUGAAAUGCGUAGAGAUCGGGAGGAACAUCUGUGGCGAAGGCGACUGCCUGGACCAGCACUGACACUGAGGCACGAAAGCGUGGGGAGCAAACA
This 427-nucleotide ribosomal RNA is filed under the name uncultured bacterium. RNAcentral describes it as "bacterial SSU rRNA". It matches the Rfam family "Bacterial small subunit ribosomal RNA", at positions 355 to 774 of the family's 1533-position model. The record is from RNAcentral.